AGCUACGCGAAUGUCUCCGGUGCUGUGUUUUGUGAUAAUUUCGACGACUCUGGCUAUUCUUUUGGACUUUUGUGACGUCUAUACCCGACCGACCUUUGCACUACCCCUGGACCCUUGCUUGCCAUUACGAUUUACCCCUGCCUGUACUCCGGACCUUGAAACAAUCAUGGGAAAAGACUAUGGAUCAUGGUCAACUGUACGCCUGAAGGACGAGCUGCGAAAACGCAAAGCAAAACUUUCUGGAAAGAAAGCAGUGCUUGUCCAGAGACUUGAAGAUUACGAUAAGCUGUUUGGACCAGUUGUAACCGACUCGGAAGUCGUAUUCAAAAUAAAAGU
Molecule: non-coding RNA, 336 nt
Organism: Plutella xylostella (diamondback moth)
Lineage: Eukaryota; Metazoa; Arthropoda; Insecta; Lepidoptera; Plutellidae
Source: RefSeq, a predicted model, not a curated record